CCCCUAGAUGUUCUGGGCCGCACGCGCGCUACACUGAACAGUUCAACAAGUCUCAACCUUGGCCGAUAGGUCUGGGUAAUCUUUGAACGCUGUUCGUGAUUGGGAUAGACCUUUGCAAUUAUGGGUCUUCAACGAGGAAUUCCUAGUAAACGCAAGUCAUCAGCUUGCAUUGAUUACGUCCCUGCCCUUUGUACACACCGCCCGUCGCACCUACCGAUUGAACGGUCCGGUGAAAUCUUGGGAUUUGCUUUGCUUUCGUUUGUUCGAUGCUCGGCGAAGAACUUGAGUAAACCUUACCGUUUAGAGGAAGGUGAAGUCGUANCA
Molecule: ribosomal RNA, 324 nt
Filed under: uncultured eukaryote
Lineage: Eukaryota
Description: partial 18S ribosomal RNA
Rfam family: Eukaryotic small subunit ribosomal RNA
Source: RNAcentral